GGGCGUACAGGCGGCUGUGCAGGCCGCUGUACUGGCCGUGCUUUCAUAGCAGCAGGUCGAGCAUUAUUAGCAGAAUUUGGAAUUGGAACUUUUCGAGGUGCGGGCUCUUCUUUCACAGCAGCUGGAGGAUCAGGAUCAUCGGAAAAUAAGAACGAAUAGUCCCGCGCGUCUUUAAGUGUUUUUGCUUUGUUUUUUACCUCCUGAACUUUUUGUCGCCGCUGGUCACGUGCAUUAAGUUGAGGCCGCUGGUGAUGUGCAGAUGUCUUUGUUUCAGUGGAUGAUGAAACAGGACCCUUUUUGCUA
This 303-nucleotide unclassified non-coding RNA is filed under the name Hevea brasiliensis (rubber tree). Lineage: Eukaryota; Viridiplantae; Streptophyta; Magnoliopsida; Malpighiales; Euphorbiaceae. The record is from RNAcentral.